This 218-nucleotide ribosomal RNA is filed under the name uncultured bacterium. Its description in RNAcentral is "partial 16S ribosomal RNA". It matches the Rfam family "Bacterial small subunit ribosomal RNA", at positions 328 to 539 of the family's 1533-position model. The record is from RNAcentral.
ACGCUCGACACCUACGGGAGGUAGCAGUGAGGAAUAUUGGUCAAUGGGCGCUAGCCUGAACCAGCCAAGUAGCGUGAAGGAUGAAGGCUCUAUGGGUCGUAAACUUCUUUUAUAUAAGAAUAAAGUGCAGUAUGUAUACUGUUUUGUAUGUAUUAUAUGAAUAAGGAUCGGCUAACUCCGUGCCGGCAGCCGCGGUAAUCUGAGCGGGCUGGCAAGGC